AUGACCGUUGGAUGUCGUCUUGGUUUUAGGGACACUGAUCUCUUUAACCUCGCGAUGCUAGCAGAACAAGGAUGGAGGAUACUCCAGGAACCUAGUUCGUUGAGUGCAAAUAUUUUGAAGGCAAAGUAUUUCCCAUCGUCUGACUUGUUGAAAUUAGAAAUUGGGUCACAACCGUCACAAGUAUGGAGAGCUGUUCAUGCAGGUUUGGAAGUUUUAAAACAAGGGAUCAUACGACGGAUCGAUGAUGGGGGAUCCAUGAAUGUGUGGAACCAAAACUACUCGCGAUGGUGGCGCGCCGGGUCAGAGAGCACCCGUGGCCGCUAG
RNAcentral lists this ribosomal RNA (324 nucleotides) under Triticum aestivum (bread wheat). RNAcentral describes it as "partial small subunit ribosomal RNA". Lineage: Eukaryota; Viridiplantae; Streptophyta; Magnoliopsida; Poales; Poaceae. The record is from RNAcentral.